RNAcentral lists this ribosomal RNA (437 nucleotides) under uncultured bacterium. Its description in RNAcentral is "partial 16S ribosomal RNA". It matches the Rfam family "Bacterial small subunit ribosomal RNA", at positions 29 to 507 of the family's 1533-position model. The record is from RNAcentral.
AGCGAACGCUGGCGGCAGGCUUAACACAUGCAAGUCGAGCGGGCAUCCUUGUGGUGUCAGCGGCAGACGGGUGAGUAACGCGUGGGAACGUGCCCUUCGGUUCGGAAUAACUCAGGGAAACUUGAGCUAAUACCGGAUACGUGCGAGAGCAGAAAGGUUUAUCUGCCGAAGGAUCGGCCCGCGUCUGAUUAGCUAGUUGGUGAGGUUAUGGCUCACCAAGGCGACGAUCAGUAGCUGGUCUGAGAGGAUGACCAGCCACACUGGGACUGAGACACGGCCCAGACUCCUACGGGAGGCAGCAGUGGGGAAUAUUGGACAAUGGGGGCAAUCAUGAUGCAGCCAGGCCGGGAGAGUGAUGACGGCCUUAGGGUUGUAAAGCUGUUUUCUCCGGGACGAUAAUGACGGUACCGGAGGAAUAAGCCCCGGCUAACUUCGUG